AACGAACGCUGGCGGCGUGCCUAACACAUGCAAGUCGAACGAGAAAGCCCUUCGGGGUGAGUAGAGUGGCGCACGGGUGAGUAAUGCAUGGGAACAUACCUUCAGGUGGGGGAUAACAGUUGGAAACGACUGCUAAUACCGCAUGGUCUCUUCGGAGUAAACGAGGCCUCUACUUGUAAGCUACGGCCUGAAGAUUGGCCCAUGUCGCAUUAGCUAGUUGGUGAGGUAAUGGCUCACCAAGGCGACGAUGCGUAGCUGGUCUGAGAGGAUGAUCAGCCACACUGGAACUGAGACACGGUCCAGACUCCUACGGGAGGCAGCAGUGGGGAAUAUUGCACAAUGGGCGCAAGCCUGAUGCAGCAACGCCGCGUGGGUGAAGAAGGCUCUUGGGUCGUAAAGCCCUUUUCGGCAGAGAAGAAGGGCACAGAUUCGAAUAGGGUUUGUGUUUGACGGUAUCUGCAUAAGAAGCACCGGCUAAU
RNAcentral lists this ribosomal RNA (479 nucleotides) under uncultured bacterium. Its description in RNAcentral is "bacterial SSU rRNA". It matches the Rfam family "Bacterial small subunit ribosomal RNA", at positions 29 to 501 of the family's 1533-position model. The record is from RNAcentral.